Molecule: long non-coding RNA, 488 nt
Organism: Rana temporaria (common frog)
Lineage: Eukaryota; Metazoa; Chordata; Amphibia; Anura; Ranidae
Exons: 3
Source: RefSeq, a predicted model, not a curated record
UACUCUGAUUGAGGGCAGCAUAUUAGUGAGCCGCACAGCUGAUCAAUCAGCGUGAGCUCUGCCAGAGGAAUCAUUCCUCGGUAUACUGAGGCAACAGCAGGUCAUAGUACCUGCUUGCCUUCGGCUCCUCUUCCUCUAUAGGCUUGCAUCCAGGCUCUGUGCGGUGCAUGGUGAUCCUACCCGCAUGCAUAAGAGGAUCAUUUCCUCUUUUUCCCAUCCCUCCUUCCUUCCAUCUGGGAUUUUCCAUCUGGGAUUCUGAGCCAGUUACGGCUAAUUAUUCAGGUUUUUCAGUCCAUUUUUUCAGACUACUGCCCCCCAUUGGUUCCUGACGAAGCCCCCUUGGGCGAAACUAGUAGAACCGUUACAUGCGGGAUGAAAUGAAGAUCACCUGCAUCUUUAUGCACUUGAAGUAUCAUUUUAUUUGUUAGUCUGGAAUUUGUCUAGUAUGCACUCUAUAGUAUUCAAUGUAUAUCUUUUUUCUUUUUUCU